ACUCACUUCCUGUCCAGACAGGAAACAGGAAGUAUAUAGCAAGGCCUUGCCAAAUGCCUGGAGACACCUGCUCCCUUUUAAGUUACUUUAUUGACGCUUGGACUCAAUGAAUCCAUAACAGAAUCGUCUAUUGCAAAUGGAGAUAUGAUGGCAGGAUGGCUGCAGUUGCAUAAAACAAAGGCCUGAAGAAGAGGACAGCAGGCUCCUAUCAUCGGAAGCUUGGCUCUAAUCUGCCUGCCCAUGAGGUGCUGCUGAUGGUGGUACUGGAGGUCGGUAGGAGAACGAGUGGUGGUGGGGGGUGUCUGUGGCAUCCUGCGUCAGGACUGUGGCCCAAUCCAUCUGUCUUCAUCAGUGAGGAGGGGGUGUGUGUUGGCCGGGGCCUGCAGCAACCCGCUAAGCACCAGCUGCUAACUGCCUUUCACACUGAUACCCAUCGAGCGGACAUAUUUACAGUAGAGGCCGACCGGAGGCUCUGCUGGUAGAUUUCCACUAUGCUCAUACAUUGGUAAUGUGUAAUAGUAACAGGUACAACGUGGAAAGGAAAGUCGAGCGCGCACACAACCACACAAGCUAACUCAGCUAGCUUCCAUUCACGCUCUGUAGUAAGUGUUUGUUGUUUGUUUAAUUGUUCCGUGUUUAUAAUGAUUUUGUGCCACCACUGAGCAGUCUGCCACGUAAAUACUUCAACACAAGAAUGUUCCUUUUCCUCAUGAUGACCGCAUUUCAUUCUUGUAUAUCCGUUGCGGCUUGUUUACGUUUUAGCAUUCAUACGGGGACAUAAAAAGUAUCGCCCAACCCAACUUUUAGAGUUUGAAUUGCUUGUGAAUUAGUAGUUCUUCACUGGUUUUAUUUGAUUAUUUCUUAAAACAUAAUUUUCACAUAGUUUAUAUAAGGUUUAUCUUCUGUUUUUUCUGUUGUGUAGUGCGUUCGCUCUAUUGCGUGACAUACUAAUGUUAUGGCCACACGGGCAAAAAAUACAUUGACGAAAUUUCAAGAAAGAAAUUUCAUACGGUUGUAAAUCUACGAGAAAAAAGUUGUAAAUAAACGAGGAAAAAAAUCUGAAAUGACCUUUUGCCAAAGACCAGAGGUAACAUUAGUCCUUUCAAAAAAAAGGUUGUCAAUUAAUGGAAAAAAAGUCUAAAAUUUAUGAUUAAAAAAGUCGUAAUAUUACAAUUUCCCAAGACCAAAGGUAACAUAACAAUGGAAUAUUAAAGUAAUGAAGUCAUCUAUUUAUGAGAAUUUUUUUUUAAAUAUUCAGACUUUAUUCUUGUAAAUUUAUGACAACUCUUUUGUAUGAUUUUUUUCUCAUAAAUGUCAACAUUUAUUGUGGUAAUUUUGAGACUUUUUUCCUUAUAAAUUUCCGACUUUAUUCUUGAAAUCUCAGAAUAUUUUUUUUUCAAUGUCAUAAUAUUGUAAAUAAUACCGCUAGUCAAUAUAUGUACGUAGUACGUAAAUAUUUGGCAUUUUGUAUUGUUCAUGCUAUGUUUUGAAAUAGACUACAGACACAAAGUACCGAUAUAGCCAAUACCAGCCUGAAUUUGACUUGGUAUCGCACAUCACUCCUGGAACAGAUUUGAUGCAAGCUGCUCCUGUGCAUGGCCAGACACUAAUUGCCCUCUUAUACGCUGUUGCCUUCUAUUGAACAAGAUGCUAGCCAGGAGGCCUUCCUAUUGAAAUCAAUUCGGGGCUAAAUGGCUUCUUUUCUAUACUUCUUCCAAGCUUAUUCUUCUUCCAUGUCAGGGAAUAAAAAAGCUUUCAUGUGCUGCGAGUGUCUGGAUGUUUUCAACAGCUUGGAGAUGAGAGUAAAAAGCACUUCAGCGCUGGCAGCCGCA
Doryrhamphus excisus (bluestripe pipefish) is the source of this 1832-nucleotide long non-coding RNA. RefSeq lists it as uncharacterized. The record is from RefSeq and is a predicted model, not a curated record. Lineage: Eukaryota; Metazoa; Chordata; Actinopteri; Syngnathiformes; Syngnathidae.